RNAcentral lists this long non-coding RNA (23346 nucleotides) under Mytilus galloprovincialis (Mediterranean mussel). Lineage: Eukaryota; Metazoa; Mollusca; Bivalvia; Mytilida; Mytilidae. The record is from RNAcentral.
AUUGAAAAUCAAGCCAAGUCUCCUUCGUGACAAUCAUACCACAUCUUCUGAUUGACAAUCAUGCCACGGAUUGUUGUCUCACUUACAUAGACCCACCAUUUUGUUUUAUUCAUGUUGAAUGUCUGGUGGUGUAUUUAUAGUGUAUCUUGUCGACGUUGGGUUCUUGUCUCAUUAACGUAUAUCCCGCAUCUCAAUUCUAUUUCGCGUUUUCUUCAAAUUUUAGUUUAAUCCUUACAAAUAUAAACCUUAUUGAAAAUGUUAUUUCGUAGUUUAUUUAUACCAACGUAGUUCACCUAAACGUGUACCUAUAAAUUAUAAUGAAUCGUAAGUAGUUAAUAUUUUCUCUAAUAUUUGUCUCUAGAUUCUCGAUAAGCUGUCUUCAGGAUUCGGGUUCAAUACAAAUAAACUCGAAUCUAUGAUGGGGCCAAAACAGAAACAGAAACAGCCAGUUAGUAACACUAAAAAAUAACUUUAAACAAAUCUAAAUUAGAUCACACAAAAUUAGUAUUAUUCCUUUUAAAGGAUGUUAGUAAUCGAGAUCAACAAAAAAAAAUUGAAUUCUGGAAAAAGCACUCCUCAUUUCUAAUCAUUUAACAUCAUACAAAAAUGCUUCAUUGGAUUCAUUAGCAACUAACAAUUCAUUGGUCGAUGUGUCAUAAUGCAGAGUCCAUGGCUCGCUAAAAUCAUCUUCACGUGUGAGAAUUUGUCUGCAGCGCUGUCCAUCAGGAGAGAUAACGACAACGUUGUUAGUAAAAUACCCCGCUACAUACACGUUACCAUCAUUGUCUACAGAUAUACCUACUGGAUACGCAGAAGCACUUUUAUCACAGAACGUCCACAGUAUGUUACCAUGGUAGUCACAGCAGGUUACACUGUGAUUGUUCCUAUUUGUGUAGAUCAGUUUGUCACCGAAUGUUGUUACGUACGCAUAGUCUGGGAGUUUGGUACUGCUCACAUUGGUAAUGGUUCCGUUAUUUAAACUGAGCAUCUGUAUUCCUUUUUCUCUGGCACAAUAUAUUAAAUGUCCAUUUUUGUAUGUUACUCCACCAGUGUAUGAAUCAACUUUUAUCGAUUUCUUCAGUUUGUGCGUCUUUAAGUCGAUUAUAUUAAUCUUUUUUGACUCGCCGGAUGUAACAGCAAUAGAAUCAUCACCAAUAAAUACCACAUCAAACGUUUUACCAAUGUCCUUUAUUUCGAAAUCUUUUGAUCCGUCAGACUUAAAUACUCUUAUUUUAUCGUCAUUAUAGAGGAGAAUACCAUCCUACAAUCAGGAAGCAGUGAACAGCCAAAGACACCUGACAACUUUGUAUUGAUACGUUUCUGUAAUGUCAGAGUCAGGUUAUCGAUAUUUUUGGUUGGAAGAGCUACCAUAAUCUGGGCUUGUCUGUCCUUCCUUUUCUGAACGGAAAAAUCACAUGGAUCAGAAUUGACAUUAAUUUCUCCAAACUUCUGCACGUUGGCUGUUAUUUGCUGUAAAGACUUAUUAAUCUGACAUGAAAUAUUGACUUGAUGUGUGGAGUCACUCGUAGUAAUCGAUUGAAUACACUUUUCGUCACCUACAAUAUGUUUUUCGAUAUCUUUCAUGGUUAAAAAUGUUUGAAGUUCGGACGCAUGUUGUUUAAUAGUGACAAAGUUUUCUUGUACUUCAGUCAUCUCUUUUUCCUUUUUUUUCAGAGUAGUCAGCAAGUUUUCUAUUUUGCUUUUUUCGUGUUGUUCAACUCUCAGUAAUUCUUUAAUUAAGUCAUCCUGAAGUUUAUCAAGGUGGUGAUUUACUUGUAUCCUGGUUUGUUUUAUUUCUGCUUCAAUUUCUCUUUUCUUGUUUUCUAUAGAUUUUAAAUUUUCAUUCCUGUUCGUGCUUAGUCGUUUAAUAUUCUCGACGACUUCCUGCACGGUUUGUUCGAUUUCAUUUAAUGCGUUUGAAGUUUUGACGUUUUUUAUGAGUUCAUUAAUGUCAGUUAAGCCUUUACAAUCGUUGUGAGAUUUCACACAUUUUUUACAACAUGGACAAUCGUGUUUUGUACAGAACAGCUCGUAUUUCUCAUUAUGAAGUUUGCAGGUCUGAGAGAUUUGCAGGACUUCGGUGGGUAAGUUUUUGUAAUUCGGCAAUAGAAACGGUUUCAUGGCUUUUUGUUCCCUUUGAAACUGCAUGAUGUUUCUUACACUCUCCACAUAGUCCUUCGUCACAUUCGGAACACCAUACUACUGAAGGUUUGGUAAUCUGAAGGUUUUCACAAACACCACAAAUACCCCAAUUGGUGGCCAUAAUCCUAAAAUAGAUUGUAUGCUCUUAAAUUAAAACUUUAUUACAAAGAAUAUUCAAAUCGUUAUCUAAAAAUGGUCAUUUAACUGACAGAUUCUAGAGUAACAUUAACUUCCCACCAAAACAUGCAAAUAAAAAAUAUUAGUAUUGUAAGCGUGUUCAAGUCGAGCGCAAUUAAAUUAAAUCAAAACAGGAAAUUGAAGGACCUAUAAUAUGAUGAAUAAGGAUUACCAGCCUAUAAUUGAAUGUAUAUUUGAAAAAAGAGGAUACGCUACGGCUAUGUAGCCUCGAAACAGAUUGUCUACAGACCUCCACAACUGAUGCAUGUAUUUAAUUUCCCAGUUCGUGCAAGUCUAAACCACCAUACCUGAAUUUUGACGUAAUAAUAGUCGGUCAUUGUGGCAGAUGUGAAAAUUAGAGGUUUUUUUUGUUUUGUUUUUUUAAGAAAAACUGUAUUGAAAUUUAGAAAAAAAAAAGUAUUGCAUACAUAAACACACUGAAAUAUUGAAAUGUCUCCCCUUCUUAAUUAUAUAUCUGUAUUUAUUGUUAAUUUUUCUCGAAAUAUUUGCCACCAGAGAAUAUCGGCAACCAAAAAUUAAUUUAUAAUGCAUGUAUAUAGUUUUUGGCAAUAAAUACAUAUUGUACUGAUCAACUGUGUACUUAGUAAACAUGAACAUAACAAAAUGUUAGAAUAUAGGCCACAUUGGUACAUGUAAAUAUAGUAAAUCAUGUAAUGUUUCCCAAAUAAAAUAAGAAACAUUAUAGACCAUUAUAUAGUAAUUAAAGUAAUUGUAGACUUUUCAGUUGAAGUGUGUAUUUGUGUGGAGUCUGUGUAAAUUGUGACUGUAUAAAACAAAGACACAAUGAUACAUUUCUAAAUACGUCUUACAUGUAUAAAUAGAAUAUUUCUUUGGAAAAGAAAGAUAAAUGGUCGCAUGAUUAAAUGUUUGUAAACUAGGGGAGAUAAUUUGAAUUAUUAAUAGAAUGUACUAGAUAAAUGAUUCCUCGUGUAAAUAUACACCAAUGCACCUGGUUUCAUUUUAUAUUCGCAUCACGAUUUUAUGAAACUUUAUUUAUCAAAAGAUUUUAAAAAAGCUUUUUUUUUUAGCAAACCAGUAUUGUAAUUUAAAAUAUAUUAAAGAAACAUAUUUCGUAUAAAACAUGUAUAACACUGAAAUACUGGAAUGUCUCACAUUCUAAAUUACAUACUUGUAUUUGUUGUAAUUUUUUUCCCGUUGGACAUGUACAAAAUAUUUGCAGGACGAUAUAGGCAACCACAAAUCAAUUGAUAGUGCAUGACGUAUAGUUUUUGCAAUUAAAACAUAUUAUACUGCUCAACUGUGUUUACUUAGUAAACAUGUACACGGUAAAUACAUUCAACGAUCGAUAUAUUGUUCUUGUGUUAUAACAAAAAUUCAUAAAGAAAAAUUUACUAAAAACAAAAACAAAAACAAAAAAAGACAGACCUCCAUACAAUUUGAAACUCGAAGGGAACAUAAAAAAAUGUUAAAAUAGGUAAAUAAAGUGAAACAAUCAACGUGUUCGAACAUAUUCAAUAAAAGAACUGAAUCGAAAGUUGAUCAAAACAAUAAAAAAAAUAUUAUGGAAAUUAAACUAGUAAUUCUAUAUUAUUGAGCUGUAGUAUGUUUGUGUGGAUGUCUCUAUACAUUGUGACUGUCUAAUACAAAGAAACAAUGAUACAAGUGACAUACCUAAAUCAGUCUUAAAAAUAGAACAUUCCUUUGGAAAGGAAGGUAGAUGGUCACAUGAUUUAGUAUGUGUACGCAAUGGGAGAUAAUUUGAAUUGAAAAUAGAAUACAGAUAAAUGAUUUGACAUGUAAAUAUACAUCAAUGUACUUGGUUUUCUUUUAUAUUCGUAUCAUGAUUUUAUGCAACUGAAUUUAUCACAUGAUUUUAAAAAGCCUUUUAUAUUGAUAACAUGUAAGUACAUUUUACAUAUUAAUUAACAUUCUCAUAGGCGGAUCCAGGGGGGGGGCUGGGGGCCGGGGCCCCCUUUCGUGGGAAAAAUUUGGUUGAUUAUAUAGGGAAUUACCGAAGCAUGACUAGAGCGGGCCCCACCUUAGGUCAUUCAGCGCCCCCCCCCCCCCCUUAUGAAAAGUUCUGGAUCUGCCACAAUUUUAAUCCAUUUUCCUUUUUUUUCUAGUUUUUAGGCCCACUACUUCCUAUUCUUUAUAUUUCUGCAGACUUUUUUUUUCGUUUUUUUUUUUAAAAGCCUUUUAUAUUGAUAACACGUAAGUGCAUUUUACAUAUUAAUUAACGUUCUUCAAUUCUAUUCUCUUUAGUUUUUAAUCCAUUUUCCUUUUUUUUUUCUAGUUUUUAGGCCUACUACUUCCUAUUCUUUAUAUUUCUGCAGACAUUUUUUUUUUCGUUUUUUGAGGCUCCUAUUACCUUAGCUGUAUUUGAAGAGCUACCAUAAUCUGGGUUUGUCUGUCCUUCCGUUUUCGAAUGGAAAAAUCAAAUGGUUCAGAACUGCAAUUAAUUUCCUAAAAUUUCUUUACGUUGGAUGUUAUUUGAUGUAAAAGACUUGUUAAUCUGGAAUGAAAUACUGACUUGAUUAGUGGAGUCGCUUGUGGCAAUCGAUUGAAUGAAUUUUUCCUCGCCUGUAAUAUUUUUUUCGAUAUCUUUCAUUGUUAAAAAUGUUUGAAGUUCGGACGCAUGCUGUUUAAUACUGGCAACAUUUUCUUGUACUUCGACGAUCUCUUUUACUUUCUUUUUCAGAGUAGUCAAUAAUUUUUCUAUUUUGCAUUUUUCGUGUUGUUCAACUAUCAAUAAUUCUUUAAUCAUGUCAUCCUGACGUUUAUCAAGGUGGUGAUUUACUUGUAUCCUGGUUUGUUUUAUUUUUGCUCCAAUUUCUCUUUUCUUGUUUUCUAUAGAUUUCAAAUUUUCAUUCCUGUUCGUGCAGAGUCGUUCAAUAUUCUCGACGACGUCCUGCAGGGUUUGUUCCAAUUCGUAAAAGGUAUUUGAAGUUUUGACGUUUUUUAUGAGUUCAUUAAUGUCGAUUAAACCUUUACAAUCGUUUUGAGAUUUCAGACAUUUCUUACAGCAUGGACACUCGUGUUUUGUACAGAAAAGUUCGUAUUUCUCAUUAUGAAGUUUGCAGAUCUGGGCGAUUUGCAGGACUUCGGUAGGUACCGUUUUGUAUUCGGCGAUAGAAACGGUUUCGUGGCUUUUUGUUGCUUUGGAAACAGCGUGAUGAGUCUUACACUCUUUACAAAGUACUUCGUCAAAUUUGGAACACCAUACUACAAAUGUUUGGUAAUAUGAAGAUUGUCACGCACACCAUAGAUACUCCAAUUGGUAGCCAUAAUUCUACAACAGAUUGCAUGCACUGCAAUGAAUGCUGUUUUAUAUUCAGAAAUGUAUAGCCAACUUUACUGUCAUAAUUUAAUUUAUCUUAAAGGUUGCAUUUCUGUAAAUAUUGAAAAUGCAAUUCCCCAUAGGAACUCCUUUUACGGCUAAAACUGUACCACUUUUAAUAUAAAUAAAAUUGAAUUCUUAAACAAAUUGAAAACUGUACCUAUACGCCUUAUUUAAGGUCCAGAAGUUUAGUAUUCAUAUUGUCGUCUUAGAACAAUGUAGAAAGUCUUACUGAUUAAAAUACUACUAUAGGGAACAAUUUGAAAAUGAUUGAGUAGUGUCAACCCUGUCAUUAUGAUCCGUGUAAAUAGCAAAAUCCGAACUACGCCGUUUGUGGUGAGCCUGUCAGAUGCGGAACUAAUAUAAAAAUAUAUAAAACUAGAACACACCCGUGAUAUCGCGGGUCCGUGUCUGAAUUAAAGUAAAUAGCUAUGCGUAAAGUCAUGCCAAUUAAAAGACGCACAGUUUUCUGUGCUUUCAAAAUCUUUCUCUUUGAACCUGUCAACCGGAAACUUAUCAAUUAUUGCUAAUAUUACAUAUUUGGAAAAAGAAAGGUCCUGGAAUAGCUAUAUUUUAAUGAACAGCAUUGUCCUAUAUUAGUUAUAAAUAAAGUUGAAUUCUUAAACAAAUGAAAAACGCCUUAUUUUAGGUACAGUAUUUUAGUAUUCGUAUUGUCAUCUUAGAAAGUCUUACUGGUUAAAAUACUACAAUAGUGAACAAUUUGGCAAUAAUUGAAUUUAAUAGUGUCAACCUUGUCAUUAUGACCUGUGUAUAUAGCAAAAUCCGAAAUACGCCGUUUGGUGGUGCGCCUGUCAGAUGCGAAACGUACAGAUAAUGUGAAUAUACUAAAUAUGUAUCGGUAUCAGAUUCGACGAGGAACUUGUUAAUUAUUGGCAAUAUUAAUUAUGUGGAAAACAAAAGGGUCUGGAGUGGUGUAAUUUUAAAUCAACACCAUUGUCCUAUAUUGGCUAUAUAUAAAAUUGAAUUCUUUGAUUUGUCGUUUUUACCCCAUGACGGCUGACAAAUUGGACUUCUUUAUUUUAGUAUAAUAGAUAUCCAAUCCUGCCUCUGUCUCCAGUCCACAUCUUACUGUAUACCUAUUUGUCAAUUAAAGUUCACAUUUUCUACCUCAAAUGGACAAUUUAGAAUUCUUGUCACAACAGUAUCAUCUGUAACCAUAUAUCAGAAACAAUUUACCUAAUAAAUAUACUAGAAGUGUUCAAACAAAGCCAUAUUUGCAAUAGUUGUAUGUGUGCAGAUUCCAGUCUGAGAUAUAAACUCACUUAAAAUGUUAUAGAGAUGACUGCUAACAUUUGAUUUUUGCAUAACUUCCGAGCAUAGUUAUUCCUUUCUAUAUCAAGAACUUAAAAAUCAUAAAAGCAUAGCAUUUACAAGUUAAAUUAUCUGUUUUAUGACCCAGGGGGUAGGCAAUUUUCUAUUUCUUUUGCCCCUGAGGCCUCAAAUUUCCUAAAUUUUUCUGCUUGAUCUAGAAAUUUGAAAUAUGUAGUACAUAUUCAGGAAAGAGCUCAUUAUUGUCAGUUUUGUUGAGAUAUUUUUGUAUUUCUAGCUUGUAUUUUUUAUGCCGUGGUGACAAAAAACAGAUUAAGGUGUCACGACUUACUUUUGGGUCAUCGACAGGACACAAACACCCCAUAAAUAAUAUUCAGGAAGGAUCGAUGAGUUUCAAUUACCGCGAAGAGUAAAUAUAAGCACUUCUUAACCAUUUAACUUACAAAUAUGCAAAUAUUAUGAAUUGAUUUUGUAUUCAGAACUAUGCAUACUGUUAAAUGUGAAUGUAUGCUGAGUCAUCAUAUCUAAGGCCCAGGAUUCUAUCAAUCUUCAUGAAAUAUUUAUAAAACUUCAUAUUUGAGUUAAUUUCUUUAAAAUCUGUUAGAUAAAGCAAAUUAAUGUGGUUAAAUUCUGAAUGUUCUCUUUUUUCAUCCUAUAUAGGUUGCAUUUCUGUAAAUAUUGACAAUGCAAUUUCCCAUGGGAACUCCUUUUACGGCUAAAACUGUACCACUUUUACUAUGAAGUUUUGAAAAAAAUCUUAUCCUUGAAUUGAAAGUUCAUGUGCACCACAAUUUUUUUCAAAUGUCAAAAUAUAGGGCUGUGCGGCAUAUUUUCAACGUUUAUAUGCCCUGAACUAGUCAGAGUUUAAACUAAGUCUAAUUUUCUUAACUACCCCUAUCUCGAAUGAAGGGUUAGCACAGAUUUCAAUGUAAAUAAUAUGCACAUUUAUAUUUACUGGUAACAUUCCUAAGGUAUGUCUCUAUGAGAUGGAACACAGAGAUCAUAACUGGGAACCAGUAUGUAAACAAAAUUAAUUUUCUAUAAAUAUUCUAAAUCUCCUAAAAAAAAGGCGUGGUUUGAGAAACAGCUGUAUUUACAAAGUGCAACCUUUAGCUCUUUGACAUUAAUAUUUAGUUCAAGUUACAUUUAAAUUCAAUAUAAUUUUUACAGACUCUUGUUCAGAAAGUGACACAAAUAUUAUACUACUAAGACGUCUUGUCCUACUAACGCUUCUGACUCCGAGUCAAUAACUCUAUUCGCAUGCUUAGCGAAUUAGCAGCAAAUAUCAGUUUUUUAGAGUAUUUGUGCUCAUGCGCAAAAGUUAUUCACGGUGGCCACAAUCAUCUGUUUUUAUCACUGCUUACUUGUCGUACUUUAAAUAUAAUUAGUAUACGAGCAAUUAUAGUUUUAAAACAUAUGUAUGUUUAACUUGAAAACUUAGUCUAUAUUCCUUAAAAAUUACAAUAAAUAAUAAUAUAGUUUUUUUUUAAAUUAAGAAGAUGUCUUUCUCGAAACACAUUCGAUUAUUAAAUUUGGAAGUUUUUUAAAUAUAGUUUUUUUUUAUAAUGAACAAAUAAGAUGUUGCUGAACCUUAUUUCAAGAGUUUGUAUGGUAUAAGUACAACGUUAGAUUAAAAAAAAAGUUUCAAUGUCCUCCGUGUUGCAUUUUUUUUUAUCUUUCCAAGGUACAAAGACAUUCGGUUAUUGUCCUUAUAAAAACGUUUUUUAUAAAUAUCUUAACGAAAUGAAUGCUUCAGAGCAAAUGUAAUUAUGCAAUUUCCGUUAUGAUUUAUAUUUCCAAAGGGUAUAACUCGUACCUCAGAAAUUACAAAGUGGAAUAUUUUGAAACUUUAAAGGAAUAUAUAUAAGAUGUCGUUAGGUCGAACCGGUCACAUUUUACAUCAAAAUUAAAUAAAGGAAAUCAAUCUUUUCCUGAGUAGGUAUCAGACAGAGUACAUGUACAUGCAGUAUAUACUAGUCAACAAAAGGAAACGAUCCAAGGUAAUGUAUUUCCAUUUAUAAUGAAAUUUGAUACACUGUACAAAGGUUAAAUAACAAAAUAUAUAGCACCCCCUCCUUCCUUUAAAAAAAAAAGUUAAACGGGGCGUAUCAUUUUUAUUCUUCACGGAAUUAUUCAAUUAUUAUUAUAGCAUAUUUGUUUCAUAAGGAAUAUUCAUCAGGAAAUUAGCUAUGAUAAAGUUUUCAAAAGGAUGUUUGUGAUAGGAAGUAAAUAUUCGCAGAUAUUAUUACUGUGCAGUUUAAACACAUGUCAAGAUUUAAUUGAUACACAGGUUAUUAAAAUCUUUACAACUAAUUUCCUAAUGCAUGUAGAACAAAACUUUGGUUAGCUUGCUUGCUUUGUUUGUAUAUUGUACAAUCAUUAGGAUAACACCAAAUUAAAUUCAAAUAUGAUAUAUAGAGGUUUAACUAUGCCUGUCAUUCCUAUAUAAAUUGUUUAAAGAUGUCAACCUUAUUUACAAAGCUUGUAUAAACAAGAAUGUGUCCAUAGUACACGGAUGCCCCACUCGCACUAUCAUUUUCUAUGUUCGAUGGACCAUGAAAUUGGGGUCAAAACUUUAAUUUCGAAUUAUAAUAAGAAAGAUCAUAUCAUAGGGAACAUGUGUACUAAGUUUCAAUUUGAUGUAACUUUUACUUCAUCAAAAUCUACCUUGACCAAAAACUUUAAGCUGCACGUGCACUUCGCACUAUCAUUUUCUAUGUUCAUUGGACCAUGAAAUUGGGGUCAAAACUAUAAUUUGGCAUUAAAAUUAGAAAAAUCAUAUCAUGGUGAAACAUGUGUGCUAAGUUUCAAGUUGAUUGGACUUCAACUUCUUCAAAAACUACCUUGACCAAAAACUUUAACCUGAAGCGAACGGACGCACAGACGGAUGAACGAACGGACGAACGGAGGCACAGACCAGAAAACAUAAUGCCCCUCUACUAUCAUAGGUGGGGCAUACCAAUUAUACAAACAAACCAAGCAAGCUGUAAAUCACCUUUGUGUGUUGAUCCCAUACCCGCAUUUCAAGUCAAAUCGUCAACCUCAGCGUCGAGUAUAUACAAUUUCGUAACACGUCAAUUAACAAUAAUUGAUUGGCAUUGUGUUCGAAGUCGAAUACUAUAUUACUAAUAUAAAAUAAAAAUAGUGUGUGUGUUUGUGUGGAUGUCUGUGUAAAUUGUGAUUGUAUUACAUGUAGUUUACAGAGAAACAUUUUAUAAUUUUUAUAAAAUUCUGGCACAAAGUAUACAAAUGAUAGCGCUGACUAUGCGAUUUACAUUGUAUCUCUUUUAUAAAUAGAUGAUCAGAACUGUUUUUUGAACUAUCUGGUCCAUUACAUUGCUGAUGUAAACCUAUGUUAUAAGUUUUAUAAAAAUUUGGCAAGAAUUGUACUGAGACGUGCGGACAGAAGGAUAGUAUUUAAGAACGCCCGAUAUUUCUAUGUCCAAACAAGGCAUUACGCAGAAACAUAAAGACAAAACUACACACAAUUCGAAGCGACAUUAGUUAAUAAAGUAAAGUAUCCAACGUGUUUUAACAUAUCUGAUAAAAGAACCGAAACAAAAGUUGUUCAAAAUAAAAUAGGGGGGAAUCCUAUUAUAUUUACAUAUACAUGUACAUUGUAGUUAUAUAAAUAGUAUGUGUGUUUGUGUGGAUGUCUGUGUAAAUUGUGACUGUAUUACAUGUAGUAUACAGAGAAACAAUGAUACAAAUGACAUACCUAUUUAAGUGUGGAAGGUAAAUGGUCACAUGAUUUAAUGUUCGUAAGCCAGGGGAGAUAAUUAUUUAAAUAAAUAGAAUUUAACGUUCAUCUUGUAAAAAUACACCAAGUGAAGAACGAAUUAUCAUAUAACUAAUUAACCCUGGUUUCAUUUUUAUUAUCAUGAUUAUCGUAUCAUAAUUUUAUGUAACUUUAUUAAUCAGAUGAUUUUAAAAAGCCUUUUAUAUAUUCAUUGCAUGCAAAAUAACAUCAUAUUAAACAUGAACAUGAUAAACUAAAGAUGAGGGUCCUUCAUUUCUAUACACGAUAGUUUUUAAUCAAUUUUCGUCUAUGCUUUUUUUUUUAUGGUCCAUUAUUUCCUACCCUUUAUAUUUUUACAGACAAUUUUCCUUUUUUUUUCAUUAUUUUAGGCCAUUUUCUACCAAUUCAUCCUAUGUUUUUCUUCUCUUUCCAGUUACGAGUUACGGUAGUGGUAUUCCGAUAUUUCAAUAUAUUAAUUCAUGAUGGCCAUUUUUUUUUAUUUGUGAAGGCAGCCCAUGAUACCGUUACAUAGGUGAUUGGGGAAUUGAAAACUGAUUUCUUUUGGUUAUCCUCCAACCGAUAGUUCAACCCUUGUUAAAGAAGUCGUGCUGGUCCGAGACCACAAUUGUCGUCCCUUGAUUUUCGUUCACAAAUAUAGUCCCUAGUGUUGACAGUGGGUUACUUGCCAUUAAUUUUUAUACCCCUUCCAAAUUUAUUUCUCCAUGUUUAAUGUCUCAAAUUGCAAGUAGGGGGGUGAAAUUACACUGUAAAGAAAUUUGGGUCCAGAAUUGUAAAGGAAAGUAGUGAUUUGGUCCAGCUGAAAAAGGUUUAAAAUUAGCACUUCGGAAGCUGUCAGAAGAUUUCAAGACGCCCUAAACAUAAAAUUGUCCAUAUUUUGAGUUAGAGCCGAUGAAGAUUUCUAUAAUUUUGAUAUAAUUUGUCCCAAAAGUAGUACAACACACUGUCAAAGUUUCUUUGGGGAAGCGCAGGUGGGAUUUCUUUUAUUUUCAUUUAUGUUCUAAAAGAAAUGCACUACGAAAUAAUUUGCCCUUCAAUACCUUGCGCAAAAGAAGUGCCUAUUUCUCCUCUACAAGACCUAUAUAGUCAUACCCCGUGACACCCGUCAUUAUUUUUCUUAGAAGCCCUAAUAGGCCGAACACCCUGUUUUUUACCAUUUGUUUCAAAUUUUGAGCUCUAAGUUUCAAUCUUUGAACAUUAGCGCCCUUCUGAUACCUUGCGCAAAAGAAGUGCCUCUUUUCUCCUCUAAAAAACAAGACCUAAUGUAGGUCCAUACCCCGUGACACCCUCAUUAUUUUUCUCUAGAAGCCCUGGAAUAGGCCGACCCCCCCUGUUUUUUACCAAUUUUUUUUUAAAUUUUGAGCUCUAGUUUCAGAUUUUUGAACAUAGCGCCCUUUGAUACCUUGCGCAAAAGAAGCGCCUAUUUCUCCUCUACAAGACCUAUAUAGUCAUACCCCGUGACACCCCUCAUUAUUUUUUCUCUAGAAGCCCUGGAAUAGGCCGACCCCCCUGUUUUUUUACCAUUUUUUUUCAAAUUUUGAGCUCUAGUUUCAGAUUUUUGAAACAUAGCGCCCUUCGAUACCUUGUGCAAAAGAAGCGCCUAUUUCUCCUCUACAAGACCUAUAUAGUCAAUACCCCGUGACACCCCUCAUUAUUUUUCUCUAGAAGCCCUGGAAUAGGCCGAACCCCCCUGUUUUUUACCAUUUUUUUUCAAAUUUUGAGCUCUAGUUUCAGAUUUUGAACAUAGCGCCCUUCGAUACCUUGUGCAAAAGAAGCGCCUAUUUCUCCUCUACAAGACCUAUAUAGUCAUACCCCGUGACACUCUCUCAUUAUUUUCUCUAGAAGCCCUGGAAUAGGCCGACCCCCCCCCCUGUUUUUUUUACCAUUUUUUUUUCAAAUUUUGAGCUCUAGUUUCAGAUUUUGAACAUAGCGCCCUUUGAUACCUUGGGCAAAAGAAGUGCCUGUUUCUCCUCUACAAGACCUAUAUAGUCAUACCCCGUGACACCCCUCAUUAUUUUUCUCUAGAAGCCCUGGAAUAGGGCAACCCCCUUUUCUUCAAAUGUGUAUGUUAGUUUAAUUAAACAAAGACAUCACAGGUGCGAUAUUUUACAGGGUAGGACUACUUUUACAUACGUUCUAAAUUGAAGUGGGUGUAUUGGUGACCCUACAUCUACAAAUAAUCUGUUGAAAGAUGCAGAUUUACUGUGGUACUGAAUAUUAGCCUUAAAAGAGAUGUGACUUGUUUAAUCAAUAAAUGGUAUAAAAACCAUUUCAAGAUUGAGUUGAAAUUGCAAUAUUUGGACUGAUUUUCUGCCUUUUUGAAUAUUUUUUGAUUUAACGGCCGUUGCUGUCUUAUUCAUUUUUUUGGUUUCUCGAUAUAUCUCCUUAUUGUUCGCUGGCUUAUUGUUCGCUAGCUAUUGUUCGCUAGCUUCUGCCUGGUCAAUUCAACAAAAGAAAUAUUGAAACAAAAUUUACAGAGAUCAACAAUCGGUCUAACGAAAUGCAUGCAUUGUAAGGAAUUUCAAUGCUUGAUAGUAAGCUCUUUUAAUCUGUCUUGUUUUACAGAGAAAAAUGCAUUAAUUUCACAAAAUCUCAGUCUAUAACAAAAAUCUAACUUCGAAAAACAUUCAGAUAUUGCUCACGACGAUGUUCCUGACAUUGUGCCUGAAUGUGGCAACUACUGACGGGCUUUCUGUCUUGGGACCGGCAUAUGGCAACUACUGACGGCUUUCUGUCUUGGGACUGGUACAUAUGGCAACUACUGACGGGCUUUCUGUCUUGGGACCGGCAUAUGGCAAGUACUGACGGGCUUUCUGUCUUGGGACCGGUAUAUGGCAACUACUGACGAGCUUUCUGUCUUAGGACCGGCAUAUGGCAACUACUGACGAGCUUUCUGUCUUAGGACAGGCAUAUGCCAACUACUGACGAGGUUACUGUCUAGCGAUCAGAAGAUGUCUAAUAGGUUGCAAUUUUUUAGGGCAGCCCAUGAUACUGAUAUAUAGGUGAAUUCCUUUUGGUCAUCUUCCAACCGAUAGUCAAACCCUUGUUAAAGAAGUCGUGCUUGUGGUUACGGGGGAUUUAUAAAUACAAACUCACGUGCGACCAACAUGGGAACGUUAAAGCCGAUACCUCAUUUCAGAGAAAGUAUCCAGCUCACUUUACGUGAAGACUUAAAGUAUCCGUUGGUGGCCGGUUACAUGGUUUACUUUCUGUCCCAAUUCUUUAUACCAAGGACGCGUGACAUAAAAUAAUAGUCUAAAAAUCGGUUGACCUUUGUCAGACGAAUAUUAACAACAUCUACAGUUCAGAUUGAUAUAAAAAAAAAGAAGAUCUGGUAGGAUUGACAAUGAGACAACUGUCCACAAGAGACCAACAUGACACAGAAAUUAACAACUAUAGGACACCGUAUAUCCUUCAACAAUGAGCAAAGCCCAUACCGCAUAGUCAGCUAUAAAAGGCCCGAAAUGACAAUGUAAAAACAAUUCAAACGAGAAAACUAACGGCCUUAUUUAUAUAAAAAAAAAAUGAACGAAAAGCAAAUAUGUAACACAUAAACAAACGACAACCACUGAAUUACAGGCUCCUGACUUGGGACAGACACAUACAUACAUAAUGUGGCGGGGUUAAACAUGUUAGCGGGAUCCCAACCCUCCCCUAACCUGGGACAGUGGUAUAACAGUACAGCAUAAGAAUGUACUAUAAAAAUCAGUUGAAAAAGGCUGAACUCAUCAGAUGGACAAAAAACAAAUUUUUAAAUUUGUGCUAAAAAAAGAAGCUGAAAGAAGCCACCGGCUUCCGAUGAACACAUAUUUCAACUGCAGCGAUUAUCAUAGUUUAAUGAAAGACAAAUUAAAAGAGUUGGUAUUGCUUAGUUGUUGGUAUUCAUAAAAAAGAAUGGCCAACAUAGGUACACGUAUCUUGUCUUAGGGAAGAAUAAAUCUUACUUUGUAAAGGAUCAAACUGAUUCGAACAAAAAAAUCUCUGAAACUGACAUUAUCAAGAAGCUUGAUUUCUUGAUUGACAACAUGUUUGUUACGUUUGAAGGACGUGCCAAGCAAUUUCAAAGAAUUGUGAAGGAGCCAAUGCAACUACUAUGAACUAAGAUUAUUUUGAUGGUCUUGGUGCAUUUUUUUAAAAUUAUGAAUAUUAAAGUACCGAAAAAUAAAAAUUAAAAAAAUUAAAAAGCAAGAUCAAGGCGAUUGGAUAUUUUUACUAAUGAGAAAAUCAUCUUCAUAGAGAAAUUCAAAAUGUUAGCGUACAGUAUUCAAAUUUUAAAAAUUAAUUAUAAAUCUAUCAUGCUUACACCGACUACACAUCUAAAGACGUCAGAAAAAUAUUCAUAUUUGCUUAUUUUGGACCAGUACACCAAUUGAAACCUCAUACAGACAAUAUUGGUAUUAAAUGUUUACAUUAAACUGAGUUUAAAAAAAUAAACACAGUGUCUUUUGUUUAAUCUGACCAUUAUCAAAGAAUGUUAUCUUAAACUUGCGCAUGCAUACUGUACUGUGUAGUUACAGAAGAAGGUGUCUUUCCUUAUAGUUUACAGUUAUGACUUUUUUGCUUGUAUGUGUAUGUCAAAUGUUUAGAUAAGUAAACAUGUUUUUAAUGGACGAUCAUAUCACAUCUUCUUUUUACACUUUAAAAAUUAACAAAUAACCAGUCGGUUGAAAACAAUUGAAAGCCAACAAACUUAGUAGUUAACUACAUUAAACCGAAUAUUAAACCUUACUUUGAACGGGCGAACGGACGGGCAGUCACACCAGAAAACACUAUGCCCGAGCGGUAGUGAGGGCUAAAAUAACACGAAUAUAAUGCCUACCCAUGUUAAAACUACAAUAAAGUAUAGCUUGCAUCAAUUAUUUCGAUUCUGAAAUAGGACACUUAAGGUAAUUUGAUGUCCGAUAAGUAUAGCGUUUGUGUAGGCUCUCUCAUGAACCUCCCUUUUUUGUUUGUAAAGAAGCAAACGGCUGGCACUGUGAUUUUUCAGAGGGAGGAGUUUGAACAGCCAGCAUGAACGGUUGUGGUAUGUAGGUCAAAUCUGUCAAUUUCGGAAUGCAACACAUUACAGUCAUAAUAAAUGAAUUAGUAAACACCAUGUGCACCAUUUAAGAGUUUGAAAGUGUUUUAAAAAGUUACAUUAAAUGCAUGAUAAUUUGAUAAAAUUCAUUCUUCUGAAGAAGCUCAAGGCAAUAUACGCAUGUUUAAACACAUUUUGUUGGAUUUAGAGCAUGGGUUUGUUCACAAAGCGAAAGAAGCACGUCAUGUUAGAAUUUGAAUUAUAAUAAGUCUUAUCAUGCAUAUGCCACAGCCAACAUAGCAACUUAAUUAAUCUCAAAAUCUCAAAAUCACAUCAAACGUUGGACCAAUGUUCUUUAUUUCAAAAUCUUUUAAUUCGUCAGCCUUGAGUACUCUUAUUUUAUAGUUAUCAUAAGAGCCAAAUACCAUCCUACCACCAGGAAGCAGUGAACAGCCUAUGGCAACUCUAUAUUGAUACGUUUCUGUAAUGUCAAAGUAAGAUUUUUGAAAUCUCUAGUUGGAGGAGUUACCAUAAUCUGGGUUUGUUUGUUUCCUCCGUUUCUAAACAGAAAAAUCACAUGAAUCGGAGCUGACAUUAAUUUCUCAAAACUUCUGCACGUUGGCAGUUAUUUGCUGUAAAUACUCGUUAAUCUGACAUGAUAUAUUGACUUGGUUUGUUGAGUCACUUGUGGUAAUCGAUUGAAUCCUUUUUUGAGAAAAUAUAAGUAUUGUUAGUCAUGUAUAUUUGUAAAAGAAGGUAUGCUAUGACUAGAUAAAAAAUGUAGCCUCGCAACAGGUUCUCUAUAGACCUCUCAAUAAUUGGUGAUAGGAAUCUUCAACCUGUCCAGAACCUGACGUGAUUCCAUUGCAUUUUUAAUUUCCCUAUUCCUGUCGCACAAUGUUGUAUAUUUAUACAUCUCGCAUGUAUUUACCCCUCAACAUGGCUCUUUUCUCCAGGGAGGGAGAAUGACAGGUGACCAUAUCAAUAUAUAGAUAAGCGAAGCGGGAUACGAUCGCAGAUGUCUAACCCUGAAAUGGACGGGCCAAUAUGGACACAAUAUUCACUCUUGAUACAGUUCUGAAUUUGAAUUGUAAUUAAAUUUUUGACACAUAAUAGGUUUCUGACACAGAAUCACUGUAGUCAAAGAACUUCAAAUUAGUUAUAUACGAUUUCAAUUUAUAUUCAAUUUUUUGCUUUAGUGCAAUACACUAUGCUGUUGCGAAUUGACCCCCCCCCUAAAAAAAAGUGUUAAUUUUCCCCCGGUUUUUUGCUUUUGUGCAAUAUACUAAGCUGUUGAAUAUUUGCUCCAAAAAAAUAUUUAAAGAACUUUUCUUUUAAUUUCGGAAAUCUGAAAUGAGAAAAAUGUCCCCUUUUCAUUUUUUUUAUCUUCCUUUCCCUUAUUUCAAAAAUAAAAUCAUUCCCUCAAGAUAUGAUCAGUUCCUCAAUUCAAAUUUCUAAUGAAGUUUGCAACCAUAAUUACCCAUCUUAAUACAUAAAAAAAGUCUUAAAAUAUAAAAUGACAUACAUUAUUAUGGCUAAAAUUAAUUUCAAUUAUUAGUAACUGUUGAAAAUAAAUUGACAGCUAAUCAAUUCAAGACAAUCAUCAUUUCUUAAUACAUAUUUGACAAGCAGUGUUAUGGAGGUAAUCAAACAUUGUUCUUUAAAAUAGAUUAGGAUUACCUCCCUUACACUGCUUUUCAAUUGUCUAAAUUGUCCUUUAACCAGAAAACCCCUUGUCUACCCCUUAUUUGUCCAUAACUCCUGAAUGGCAUGGUUUGACCAAUUAAACCGCAAAGUCCUUUGUAGUAUAGAAACUUGUGAUAUAAUUUCAGAGAGAUGCAUACACUUUUACACAAUUAUUGUCCGGACACCACAAAUAUGCUUAUUUGGGCCGUUUUCUCACCCCUAAUUCAUAAAUAGUUAGGACCAUUACCCCGGAAAUCAAUUACAACCUUUCUAUAGUGGUUAUAUACCUUGUGUUACAAUUUUAUUGAUUUUUAUUUACUUAUACUAAAGUUAUUAUCCGGAAAUCAUCUGUCUUCGGACGACGCUGACGACGACGACGACGACGACAACAACGUGAUAGAAAUAUACGACCUCCUAAAUGAUAAUGAAACCACAUAUCCUUAUUGACAAUCGUAAUUGCCUCUCCUUGAUAUCAAUCGCAUCUAUAUUUUCUUAAGGACAAUCAUACAGCGCUUUUUAUUCAUAAUAAUUCGUUAUAUCAUAUUCUCAUUAAGCCACAUCUAGUCAUUAAAUAUCCAGCUAUAUCUUCUUACCCACACUCAAACCACAUCUUACUAUUUAGAUAUUUUCAAUCAUACAAUACUCAUUAUUGACAAUCAUACCUCAUCUUCUUAUUGAAAAUCGUUCCACGUUAACAAAUUGACAUUCUUAUGACAUUGCCGUAUUAGCAAUCAUACCACAAUACAUCUCACUAUUGACCAUAAUAAGACAUCUCCUUAUUGAAAAGCAUGCCACAUUUUCUUAUUGAAAAUCUUACCAAAAUUCAACAUUGACAUUCAUAUCACGUCACCUAAAUUGAAAAUCAUACUGCAUCUCAUUAUUGAAAAUGAAAGCAAUCUUCUUAUUGACAAUCAUACUACAUCUCUUUAUCGAAAAUCAUAACACAUCUUCUUAUAGACAAUCAUAUUAAUCUCAUUAUUGACAAUCAUACAACAUUUUCUAAUAGGCAAUCAUACCACAUCUUCCUAUUGACAAUCAUACCACCUCUUCUCUUUGAAACUCAUAGUACGUCGUCUUAUUGACAAUCAUGACCAAAUCUCCUUAUUGAUAACCAUGACCGAAUUUCCUUAUUGACAAUCAUGGCCGAAUCUCCUUAUUGAAAAUCAUGACAAAAUUUCCUUAUUGACAAUCACGUCCGACCUCCUUAUUGACAAUCAUGUCCAAAUCUCCUUUUUGAUAAUCAUGACCGAAUUUCCUUAUUAACAAAAAUGUCCGAAUCUCCUUAUUGAUAAUCAUACAACGUAUUUAAUGCGUUAUGAUUAUUUUUCUUAUUUUUACAUUGUCUAACUUAUUUAUAUAUACGAUAUACCAUCAUCUUCCUUAUCUUCCUUAUUGACAAUGAUAUCCGCAUCUCCUAAUGGACAAUCGGGACCGCAUAAUGGAAUUUGAUGCGACUGUUAUACAAGUGAGAGGUUUAGCUAGCUAUAAAACCAGGUUCAAUCCACCAUUUUCUACAUUUGAAAAUGCCUGUACCAAGUCAGGAAUAUGACAGUUCUUGUCCAUUCGUUUUUGAUGCGUUUUGUUAUUUGAUUUUGCCAUGUGAUUAUGGACUUUCCAAAUUGAUUUUCCUCUGAGUUCAGUAUUUUUGUGAUUUUACUUUUUUCUCAUUAUUGACAAUCAUGACCAAAUGUCCUUAAUGAUAAUCAUUCCGAAUCUCCUUAUUGACAAUCGGGACCGAAUCUCCUUAUUGAAAAUCGGGACCGACUCUCUUUAUUGACAAUCAUAUCAAAAUCUCCUUUUUGACACUAAGGACCAAAUUUCCAUAUUGACAAUCAGGACCUAAUCUCCUUAUUGACAAUCUUGCGUAAAUCUCCUUAUAGAUAACCAUGACCGAAUCUCUUUAUUGAAAAUCAUGACCGAAUUUCCUAAUAAACAUUCAUGACCGACCUCCUUAUUGACAAUCAUGUCCAAAUCUCCUUAUUGAUAAUAAUCCCGAAUCUCCUUAUUGACAAUCAUGACCGAUUAACAAUCUUCUUAUUGACAAUUCUAUCCAAAUCUCCUUUUAGACAACCAGGACCGAAUUUCCCUAUGGACAAUCAUUACAUAAUCUCCUUAGUGACAAUCAUGUCCAAAUCUCAAUAUUGAUAACCAUGACCGAAUUUACUUAUUAACAAUCAUGACUAACCUCCUUAUUGACAAUCAUGUCCAAAUCUCCUUAUUGACAAUCAUGUCCAAAUGUCCUUAUUGAUAAUCAUUCCGAAUCUCCUUAUUGACAAUCAGGACCGAAUUUUCAUAUUGACAAUCAGGACCUAAUCUCCUUAUUGACAAUCUUGCGUAAAUCUCCUUAUAGAUAACCAUGACCGAAUCUCUUUAUUGAAAAUCAUGACCGAAUUUCCUAAUAAACAUUCAUGACCGACCUCCUUAUUGACAAUCAUGUUCAAAUCUCCUUAUUGAUAAUAAUCCUGAAUCUCCUUAUUGACAAUCAUGACCGACUCUUCUUUUUGACAAUUCUAUCCAAAUCUCCUUUUAGACAAUCAAGACCGAAUUUCCCUAUGGACAAUCAAGACAUAAUCUCCUUAGUGACAAUCAUGUCCAAAUCUCCUUAUUGACAAUCAUGUCUUAAUCUCCUUAUUGAUAAUCAUCCCAAAUCUCCUUAUUGACACUCAUGGCCGACCUCCUUAUUGACAAUCAUGUCCAAAUCUCCUUAUUGACAAUCAUGUCCAAAUGUCCUUAUUGAUAAUCAUCCCGAAUCUCCUUAAUGACAAUCAGGGCCGAAUCUCCUUAUUGACAAUCAUGACAUAAUCGCCUUAUUGACAAUAAUGUCCAAAUCUCCUUAUUGAUAACCAUGACCGAAUUUCCUUAUUGACAAUUAUGUCCGAAUCUCUUUAUUGUAAAUCAUGACCGAAUUUCGUAGUUGACAAUCAUGACCGACCUCAUUAUUCACAAUCAUGUCCAAAUUUCCUUAUUAAUAAUCAUGACCAAAUUUCCUUAUCCCUGUGUUAUCAACAAUCAUGUCCGAAUCUCCUUAUUGAUAAUCAUCAACUUAUUUAAUGCGUAUUGAUUUUUUUUCUUAUUUUCACACUGUCUGAACAUAUUCAUAUACGUAAAACCAACAUUUUCUUUAUCUUCCUUAUUGAGAAUCGGGAUCGAAUCUUCUUAUUGCCAAUCCGGACCGAAUUUCCCUAUUGACAAACAUGACCGAAUUUCCUUAUUGACAAUCAUGUCCAAAUCUCCUUAUUGAUAAUCAUCCCGAAUCUCCUUAUUGACAGUCGGGACCGAAUCUCCUUAUUGACAAGCAUGUCCAAAUCUCCUUAUUGACAAAUAUGUCUAAAUGUCAUUAUUGAUUAUCAUUCCGAAUCUCCUUAUUGACAGUCGGGACCGAAUCUCCUUAUUGACAAUCAUGAACAAAUCUCCUUAUUGACAAUCAUGUCCAAAUCUCCUUAUUGAUAAUCAUCCCGAAUCUCCUUAUUGACUAUCAUGUCCGGAUCUCCUUAUUGACUAUCAUGUCCGGAUCUCCUUAUUGAUAAUCAUGACAAAAGCUCCGUAUUGAUAAUCAUGACCGAAUAUCCUUAUUGAUAAUCAUAUAACGUAUUUGAAGCGAAUUGAUUAUUCUAAUUAUUGUGACAUUGCCUAACUGCCUCAUGUACGUAAUACCAACAUCUUCUUUACUUAAAUUGAAAGUUGUUAUGUUAAUUUUGUCAUUAUGUUGUUGUCUCGUUUACGUGUAACGCAUUUCCUUGCUUAUUUAUACUGAACUUUUUAACAGACAUCUUCAAAUUAAACUGUCUUUGAUAUUAAGUCGGGAUGUUCUCUGAUAUCUCCUUUUAUUUAUACGGAACUGUCAUAAUACUUUUUUUUCGAUGAGUUGCUGUCUCGAAAACGUAUGACAGACAUUUUACUAUUAUUCAUAUGGAACUGUCCUUAAAUCUAUUUUGCAGAUGAAUUGCUGCCUCAUAACUGUAAUUUGUGGUAUAUCUAUACCAACGAAAUCCACUAAAACUUGUACCCCACGAAUAAUAAUGAAUCCUUAGAAGUUUAAUUUUUCUGUAUAAUCUCGAUAAGAUGUCGUCGAGUCUCGGGUCCAAUACAGCUAAUCUCAAAUCUAUAACAGGGCCAAUACAGAAAUUGUCAGUUAAUAACGCUAUAAAUUAAUUUUAAACAGAUCUUAAUUAGAUCACAAAAAAAUUAUAUAAUUCAAUUAAAAUAAUAUUUGUAAUCGAGAUCAAGAAAAUGUUGAAUAAGGUUGAAAAAGUCACCCUUCAUGUCUUAUUAUUUAACAUCAUACAGAAAGGCUUCAUUGGAUGGAUUUGCAACUAACAAUUCAUUGGUAGACGUGUCAUAAUGCAGAGCCCAUGGGAAGCUCAGUCCAUCUUCACUUGAUAAGAGUUGUCUGUAGUGUUGUCCAUCAGCAGAGAUAACAACCACAUUGCUAGUAUAUCCUCCCACUACAUACACGUUUCCAUCAUUGUCUACAGAGAUACCGCGUGGAGAGUUCACAACACUUUUAUCACAGAACGUCCACAGUAUGUGACCAUGGUAAUCACAGCAGGUUACGCUGUCAUUGAAUUUGUGUAGAACAAUUUGUCACCGAAUGUUGUAACGUACGCAAGACCUGAAAGUUUGGUAUUGUUAACAUUGGUAAUUGUUUCGUCAUUCAGACUGAUCAUCUGUAUUCCUUUCUCUCUGGCACAAUAUAUUAAAUAUCCAUCUUUGUAUGCUACUCCACCAUUAUAUGAAUCAACUUUUAUUGAUUUCGUCUUUGAUUUCUUCUUUAAGUCGAUUAUAUUAAUCUGAUUUGAAAUGCCGGAAGUUACAGCAAUAGAAUCAUCACCAAUAAAUACCACAUCAAACGUUACACCAAUGUUCUUUAUCUCAAAAUCUUUUGAUCCGUCAGACUUUAGUACUGUUAAUUUAUUGUCAUAUCAGAGGAGAAUACCAUCCGAUCACCAGGAAGCAAUGAACAACCAGAGACAUCUGACAACUUUGUCUUGAUACGUUUCUGUAAUGUCAGAGUCAGGUUAUCGAUAUCUCUGGUUGGAAGAGUGACCAUAAUCUGGGCUUGUCUGUCCUUCCGUUUGUGAAUCGAAAAAUCACAUGGAUCAGAACAAACAUAUAUUUCCCCAAACUUCUGCACGCUGGCUGUUGAUUUGUUGCAAAGACUUGUUUAAUCCUACAUGAAAUAUUAACUUGAUUUGUGGAGUCACUUGUGGCAAUUGAUUUGAUAAAUUUUUCUUCGCCUAUAAUAUCUUUUUCGAUAUCUUUCAUUGUUAAAAAUGUUUGAAGUUCUGACGCAUGAUGUUUAAUACUGGCAAAAUUUUCUUGUACUUCAGCGAUCUCUUUUUCCUUCUUUUUUAGAGAAGUUAACAAUUUUUCUAUUUUGCUUUUUUCUCUUUGUUCAACUGUCAUUAGUUCUUUAAUCAAGUCAUCCUGAAGUUUAUCAAGGUGAUGAUUAACGUUUAUCCUGGUUUGUUUUAUUGCUGCUUCAAUUUCUCUUUUCUUGUUUUCUAUAGAUUUUAAAUUUUCAUUCCUGUUUGUGCUUAGUCGUUUAAUAUUCUCGACGACUUCCUGCAGGGUUUGUUCGAUUUCAUUAAAUGCGUUUGAAGUUUUUACGUUUUUUAUGAGUUCAUUUAUGUCAGUUAAACCUUUACAAUCGUUGUGAGAUUUCACACAUUUCUUACAGCAAGGACAAUCGUGUUUUGCACAAAACAGCUCGUAUUUCUCAUUAUGAAGUUUGCAGGUCUGAGAGAUUUGCAGGACUUCGGUGGGUAAGUUUUUGUAUUUGGCGAUAGAAACGGUUUCAUGGUUUUUUGAUGCCUUGGAAACCUGCAUGAUGUUUCUUACAACUCUCCACAUAGUCCUUCGUCACAUUCGGAACACCAUACUACUGAAGGUUUGGUAAUCUGAAGGUUUUCACAAAUACCACAAAUACCCCAAUUGGUGGCCAUAAUCCUAAAAUAG